This is a ribosomal RNA of Blastocystis hominis, 1669 nucleotides long. It matches the Rfam family "Bacterial small subunit ribosomal RNA". NCBI's taxonomy places the organism in Eukaryota, Bigyra, Opalinata, Blastocystidae. The record is from Rfam.
AUUCUUAAGAGUUUGAUCCUAGCUCCGAAUGAAUGCUAGUAGUAUGCUUUAACACAUGCAAGUUUAAUAGAUAUUUAUUUAAUAUUUAUGAUUAAAUAUUUUAUAAAUAUUUAUAGCGUAAAGGUGAGUAAAUUAUAAAUAAAUUACCUAAAAAUUGUUGUAAAAAUUUUAUUUAAUCAAUAAUAUUCAAAAGAAAAAAAUAAUUUUUUUUAUUUUUUUCGUUUUUAGAUAUUUAUUUAUAUAAGAUUAGGUAGUUGGUAAGGUAAAAGCUUACCAAGCCAAAGAUUUUUAGUUGGUUUGUGAGAAUGAUCAACCACAUCGGGAUUGAAAUAAAGCCCGAACUCUUUAUGAGUCAGCAGUGGGGAAUAUUGGACAAUAAACGAAAGUUUGAUCCAGCAAUACUACAUAAGUGAUGAAGGCUUUAUCGUUGUAAAACUUAUAAUUUGAUGAAAUAAUGAUUUGUCAAAGGAAUAGUUCUGGCAAACUCUGUGCCAGCAGCCGCGGUAAUACAGAGGGAACGAGCAUUAUUCGUCUUUACUGGGCGUAAAGAGUCUUAAGAUGAUUUUUUCAAUUAAAAAUUAAAAAUUAGAGCUUAACUCUAAUAUUUUUUUAAUAUUAAAAAAUUUGAGUAUAUUAAAGGAUUAUAGAAUUUCUAAAGGAGGUGCGACAACCGUUUAUAUUAGGAAGAAUGCCAUUUAGUGAAAACAAUAAUCUAUUAAAAUACUGACAUUGAUAGACGAAAGUAUGGGUAGCAAACAGGAUUAGGUACCCUGGUAGUCCAUACUAUAAACAAUGAAUAUUAAAUAUUAAUAAAUUAUAUUUAUUUUUUAAAUUAUAUAUAGAUUUUUUAUAAUAUUUUUUGUAAAAAAUUAUAUUAAUUUUUAAUGAAUAUUUUCAUUUAAUAUAAAAAGUUAACACGUUAAAUAUUUCGCCUGGGGAGUAAAACCGCAAGGUUGAAACUCAAAGGAAUUGACGGGAGCUUAUACGUACGGUGGAGCAUGUGGUUUAAUCCGAUAGUCCGCGUGGAAUCUUACCAAUUUUUGACAGUUUAUAAUUUUUUUUAUUAUAAAACAGGUGUUGCAUGGUCGUCGUCAGCUUUUAUUUUGAAGUUAAGAUAUAAGUUUAACCCUUGCUUUAAGUUGCUAUUAUUUAAAAGUAUUAAAGGUUAAUUCUUGUUAAUUUUUAAUCAUUAAAUAAGUACUCUUAAAAUAAAUUUGAAUAUAAUUUAUUCAAAAAAUAUGCAAAGGAUGAAGAUAGAUCGUUAUGACCCUUAUAAAUUGGGCUACACAUGUGCUACAAUAUUUUCUACAAAAAGACGCAAUUAUGAAAAUAGGAGCAAAUCUUCAAAAGAAAAUGUAAUACAGAUUAUAGAUUGAAACUCAUCUAUAUGAAGCUGGAAUCGUAAGUAAUCGUAAAUCAGUAUGUUACGGUGAAUUGUUAAAUAAAAUUAAAUUUUUAAUUUUAUUUGUUUAUAAGCUCUGUACACACCGCCCGUCACAUUAAAGAAGUAAGUUUUAGUUAAAAUACUGUUUAUUUAUAUAUAUAUUUUUGUAAAAUAUAUUUUUACAAAAUUUUAUUUUAGGUAGAUUUUAUUAGAUUAAAAUUUAUAAUUUUAAUGAAGUCGUAACAAGGUAACCGUAUGGGAACAUGCGGUUGGAAUUAUAUAUUU